UGCCCCAGUAACGGCGAGUGAAGCGGCAACAGCUCAAAUUUGAAAUCUGGCCCCCCGGCCCGAGUUGUAAUUUGCAGAGGAUGCUUUUGGUGAGGCACCUACCGAGUCCCCUGGAAUGGGGCGCCAUAGAGGGUGAGAGCCCCGUAUAGUAGGACGCCGAACCUCUGUAAAGCUCCUUCGACGAGUCGAGUAGUUUGGGAAUGCUGCUCUAAAUGGGAGGUAAAUUUCUUCUAAAGCUAAAUACCGGCCAGAGACCGAUAGCGCACAAGUAGAGUGAUCGAAAGAUGAAAAGCACUUUGAAAAGAGGGUUAAAAAGUACGUGAAAUUGUUGAAAGGGAAGCGCUUGUGACCAGACUUGCGCCGGGCGGAUCAUCCAGCGUUCUCGCUGGUGCACUCCGCCCGGUUCAGGCCAGCAUCGGUUUUCGCCGGGGGACAAAGGCUUCGGGAACGUGGCUCCUUUCGGGGAGUGUUAUAGCCCGUUGCGUAAUACCCCGGCGGGGACCGACGACCGCGCUUCGGCAAGGAUGCUGGCGUAAUGGUCAUCAGCGACCCGUCUUGAAACACGGACCGAGGAGUCAAGCAUUAGUGCGAGUGUUUGGGUGUAAAACCCGCACGCGUAAUGAAAGUGAACGUAGGUGAGAGCUUCGGCGCAUCAUCGACCGAUCCUGAUGUUUUCGGAAGGAUUUGAGUAGGAGCAUUAACGCUUGGACCCGAAAGAUGGUGAACUAUACUUGAAUAGGGUGAAGCCA
RNAcentral lists this ribosomal RNA (749 nucleotides) under Pyricularia oryzae. Its description in RNAcentral is "eukaryotic LSU rRNA". It matches the Rfam family "Eukaryotic large subunit ribosomal RNA", at positions 76 to 854 of the family's 3401-position model. The record is from RNAcentral. Lineage: Eukaryota; Fungi; Ascomycota; Sordariomycetes; Magnaporthales; Pyriculariaceae.